Molecule: unclassified non-coding RNA, 231 nt
Filed under: Hevea brasiliensis (rubber tree)
Lineage: Eukaryota; Viridiplantae; Streptophyta; Magnoliopsida; Malpighiales; Euphorbiaceae
Source: RNAcentral
AAAAGAGAGAUAAAGAUAAGGUGAAAAGAGUAAAAUAUAAAUUAAAAGAAAGAGUACACUGCAAAUGCAAUGCAAAGCAGCUCAAUGAAUGGUUAUGGCAUUGGCAGGACAGUGCUCAGUGCCAGUGCCAGCCAUUUAAUUACACAGUAUGAGAGACAAAAGAAAAAGAAAAGCCGCUUUCGACUUUCCGUUUUGUCUUUCUCUUUUGAUUUAAUUUAAUUUAAUUUAUUA